ACGCUCGACACCUACGGGAGACAGCAGUGAGGAAUAUUGGUCAAUGGACGCAAGUCUGAACCAGCCAUGCCGCGUGCAGGAUGACGGCUCUAUGAGUUGUAAACUGCUUUUGUACGAGGGUAAACGCAGAUACGUGUAUCUGUCUGAAAGUAUCGUACGAAUAAGGAUCGGCUAACUCCGUGCCUGCAGCGACGGUAUNGAGCGGNNGNAG
This 211-nucleotide ribosomal RNA is filed under the name uncultured bacterium. RNAcentral's name for it is "partial 16S ribosomal RNA". It matches the Rfam family "Bacterial small subunit ribosomal RNA", at positions 328 to 534 of the family's 1533-position model. The record is from RNAcentral.